AUGUGAUGUGGACAAUCUCACAAGUAACCCUUAAACCUCUCCCAUGCCUGUGGUAGAGAUUCAGAGUCUUUCUGAGUGAAGGUGGAAAUUUUUCCUCUCAACUC
This is a small nucleolar RNA of Lycium barbarum (goji berry), 104 nucleotides long. The record is from RefSeq and is a predicted model, not a curated record. Lineage: Eukaryota; Viridiplantae; Streptophyta; Magnoliopsida; Solanales; Solanaceae.